GAUGAAGAACGUAGCGAAAUGCGAUAAGUAAUGUGAAUUGCAGAAUUCAGUGAAUCAUCGAAUCUUUGAACGCACAUUGCGCCCCCUGGUAUUCCGGGGGGCAUGCCUGUUCGAGCGUCAUUUCACCACUCAAGCCUCGCUUGGUAUUGGGCAACGCGGUCCGCCGCGUGCCUCAAAUCGACCGGCUGGGUCUUCUGUCCCCUAAGCGUUGUGGAAACUAUUCGCUAAAGGGUGUUCGGGAGGCUACGCCGUAAAACAACCCCAUUUCUAAGGUUGACCUCGGAUCAGGUAGGGAUACCCGCUGAACUUAAGCAUAUCAAUAAGCGGAGGU
RNAcentral lists this unclassified non-coding RNA (331 nucleotides) under soil metagenome. Its description in RNAcentral is "partial contains 5.8S ribosomal RNA, internal transcribed spacer 2, and large subunit ribosomal RNA". The stretch from base 1 to 120 matches the Rfam family "5.8S ribosomal RNA", at positions 35 to 154 of the family's 154-position model. The record is from RNAcentral.